RNAcentral lists this long non-coding RNA (437 nucleotides) under Apteryx haastii (Great spotted kiwi). Its description in RNAcentral is "lncRNA (ENSAHAG00000016328.1)". The record is from RNAcentral. Lineage: Eukaryota; Metazoa; Chordata; Aves; Apterygiformes; Apterygidae.
GACAUGGCGCUGCCGGGGGGGCCCGACCGCCUCAGCGUCAUCACCUACCUGUGGCAGCUGCGGGGGGUCCUGGACGGGGGGGCGGGCGCCCCCCCUGGUGCCCCCCUGGUGCCCCCCGGCGCCCCCCAGCCCCCGGCAGCCCCCCCAGAGGUGUCGGCGACCGGCGUCGCUGCGAAGGAUGCUGGGAGUUCGGCCAACCCUGGGGCUGCAAAGGACGCUGGGAGUUUCACUGAUGGCAUCGUUGCAAAGGAUGCUGGGAAUUCAGCCAAGUCUGGGGCUGCAAAGCAUGCUGGGAAUUUGACUGAUGGCAUCGCUGCAAAGGAUGCUGGGAGUUCAGUCAACUCAGGGGCUGCAAAGCAUGCUGGGAGCUCGUCCAACAGCACAGCUGCAAAGGAUGCUGGGAGCUUGGCCAGCCUAGAUGUUGCAAAGGAUGCUGG